UUCAGUUAUCAUUCUUUUUUUCAUUGUUAAAAACAUGAAAAAACAUGUGUGAAUUUUAAUAAUUGUGAUUAUUAUUUGAUAUGAAUAAUCCCAUGGUUAUUGAUUAAUAAUUAUAGAGAUUAAUUUUGUAGUGUGUAUAAAAAAAGAUCUGAUCACUUCAAUAGAUUCAGAGAAAACACAUACAUUUUCCAAAGUUUACAAAACUUUUGUAAAGACUGUCAUUUUCACUGAAAAUGUGGGCUAGUUGACCGACGUUUGAGAUAUUCAAUUUAAAACAGUGUUUUGAAUGUUCUUUAUUAAAAUACGCUUGCAAAUGUAAUACCACCAACAACACGUCGAGCAAGCAUGUUUUUGAAGUGACUGAUAUCCUAAUUAUAUUUAAUUUGUUUUGUUGUUUAAAAAUGCCAUUUGACAAGCUGAGGGUGCAAUUGUUGUUACUACAAAUAAUGUUUUCUGAAACGUUUCUGAAAUGUUUUUGAAUAAAAAUGUUUUUUUUUAAAUCUCACCUAGCAUGUUUUUCUUAAUUUCUUCCAGUGUUCUCCAAGUGCUGAAGCUCGCCUAAAAGUUAAGCGAAGAAUCCCACACAUCCACAAAAAACAAGCAUUUGACACUGUAACAUAGAGACAUCUGAGGAAUGUUGUGGUGAUGACUUUCAGAGAACAGACAAGUACUACAAGUUCCAGUCCCUGGAUGAUCUGACAGUAGUAAGUGUGAGAUGCUUGAGGAGGAAAACAAUAAAGCUGAGGCUGUAGAGCGAGAGCACUGUGUUGAGCUUCUGAAGGCCAUGCAGAAAAUUGAUCCGAACAAGAGGAUCACUCCCCAAGAAGUCCUUGCUCUUCCAUUCAACACCAAAAACUACCCGAAAGGACACCAGGACAAAGAAGAAGAAGAAUGGUGUCCGGUGCUUCUUCUCUUGGAUGAUUAGGGAUGUGUGAAGUUCUCUUCUGUUUUGUUCAGUUCUUCCUGGGUUAAAAUAGGUCUAGAAAAGAUGACAUAUAGUAGAAGGUCUUUGAGAUCAAAUGAUUGUACAUGAGCAGGUAUCUGAAGUAGAACGUGACUGGUGCUUUAUUCUGAUAAACACCACCUACAACAAUUUGUGUUUGUAUGGUAUAUUGGCCAGGCAUGUAUACUGGACACACAAGCAACCUUAGUCAGAAUGACAUUUCUUGCCAAGUAGCAUUUCACCAUCUGAAUUUGUGUUUUGGUGCAUGACAAUAAACACACAGUAAGCACAAAAAAUUAAAGAAAGAUAAAGGGCUGGGACAUUAAGUCAAACCAUUGAUAGAUUAAAAAAAAAAAAGUUGUGUAAACUGGAACAUACAGUUUUGUCCAGGGAAUGUCUACAGUGUUGACCACUGAAAGUGUAUAUGUUCACAGUAUGCUGAGGACCGUCAAGCUCUGUUCCAUAUACAUUCAAUGUAGCAAUCACAUCAAGUUCUCGAACUAUUCCUUGUUUGCAUUAUCUAACUUGUUUUUGAAUAAAGUCUUGAAAAUGA
This is a long non-coding RNA of Acanthopagrus latus (yellowfin seabream), 1496 nucleotides long. RefSeq lists it as uncharacterized. The transcript has 4 exons. NCBI's taxonomy places the organism in Eukaryota, Metazoa, Chordata, Actinopteri, Spariformes, Sparidae. The record is from RefSeq and is a predicted model, not a curated record.